UCUGAACAAAGAAAGAUGCCAAUUAUGCCCCAAUGGGGCCCCGUGAAGUUCAAAACAUCAGGUUGCCAGCUUUCAAACGAACGUCGCUUGGACUAUUGCGCCGAAUCAGUCAGUUGUUUCAUGGCGAGUGGGGGCAAACAGCGCGCGCGUUUCUCUGAAUUUAAUUCAAAAAUCGCCAGUUUUUUCGCCUAGUCUCCAUUAAAAUGCAGGUCUUCGUAAAGCGGAACUUUUUGCCGAACGUUUGGUGGUAUUUACGCGACCGCACGUGCAAUUUUCGGGGAAAAAUCGCGAUUGUUGCAACCUAUUUUGACGUUCGAUGUCACUGAACUCUCCUAACCACAAUCAGGACGGAACAUUCUGGAUAUUUUCCAGUGGUCUGUCUUUCCGUUGUUUUUGCGGCUUUCCAGCCUUUCCCACUCAACUACUGGAGUAGUUGCACAUAGAUGAGCACACACCUCAAAGAUACGUUUUGGCGAAUGAACUCAACUGCUCUACAAAAUCAACGUUACACUGAAAACUUUGGACUAACUGGGUAAAUUCUGACCGCUCGGCACAACAAUCGCAUAAGGGAGCUCAUCGAUUGCUGCCGAAAAUGUUCCUACCUGUUCUAAUUGCUUAAUGGUAACCCCCAUAGCCACUGAAAGAUACAGCUUGUCGUCAUCGAUGUUGGCGUCCUUUAGGUCGCCCAACGCUAUGGGCACAAUGUGAGGCUUAACGGAAACGAUGACGAUUUGCGACUUUUGCACCACUGGGAUGUUUUCUGUUACGGACUCGGCGCCCAAAUCCU
Long non-coding RNA from Dendroctonus ponderosae (mountain pine beetle), 787 nucleotides. RefSeq lists it as uncharacterized. The transcript has 2 exons. NCBI's taxonomy places the organism in Eukaryota, Metazoa, Arthropoda, Insecta, Coleoptera, Curculionidae. The record is from RefSeq and is a predicted model, not a curated record.